RNAcentral lists this ribosomal RNA (494 nucleotides) under Bacillus sp. enrichment culture clone JL3_Na7. RNAcentral's name for it is "bacterial SSU rRNA". It matches the Rfam family "Bacterial small subunit ribosomal RNA", at positions 421 to 905 of the family's 1533-position model. The record is from RNAcentral. Lineage: Bacteria; Bacillati; Bacillota; Bacilli; Caryophanales; Bacillaceae.
GGUCGUAAAACUCUGUUGUUAGGGAAGAACAAGUGCUAGUUGAAUAAGCUGGCACCUUGACGGUACCUAACCAGAAAGCCACGGCUAACUACGUGCCAGCAGCCGCGGUAAUACGUAGGUGGCAAGCGUUAUCCGGAAUUAUUGGGCGUAAAGCGCGCGCAGGUGGUUUCUUAAGUCUGAUGUGAAAGCCCACGGCUCAACCGUGGAGGGUCAUUGGAAACUGGGAGACUUGAGUGCAGAAGAGGAAAGUGGAAUUCCAUGUGUAGCGGUGAAAUGCGUAGAGAUAUGGAGGAACACCAGUGGCGAAGGCGACUUUCUGGUCUGUAACUGACACUGAGGCGCGAAAGCGUGGGGAGCAAACAGGAUUAGAUACCCUGGUAGUCCACGCCGUAAACGAUGAGUGCUAAGUGUUAGAGGGUUUCCGCCCUUUAGUGCUGAAGUUAACGCAUUAAGCACUCCGCCUGGGGAGUACGGCCGCAAGGCUGAAACUCAAG